This 91-nucleotide small nuclear RNA is filed under the name Prolemur simus (greater bamboo lemur). Lineage: Eukaryota; Metazoa; Chordata; Mammalia; Primates; Lemuridae. The record is from RNAcentral.
GAGACUCUUGUCUCAAAAAGAAAAAAAAAAAAGAUUAGCAUGGCCCCUGUGCAGGGGUAACACAAAAACUGGUGAAAUGCUCCAUAUUUUG